Molecule: long non-coding RNA, 234 nt
Filed under: Capsicum annuum
Lineage: Eukaryota; Viridiplantae; Streptophyta; Magnoliopsida; Solanales; Solanaceae
Description: long non-coding RNA (CANN_LNC006753)
Source: RNAcentral
UUAACGAUGGAAAAUAAGUCCGUGUAAAGGUACGACUCAAUUAAGAAAUCAUAUCCUAGGAUACGAGUGGUACUCUAACUCAUACCCUAGGAUUCUCCUAGGUCAUCCACACUGAUUAGGGUAUGACUACCCACCAUUGAGACAUAACCAAAGUGUACAACUCAUGCCUCAAUCAAGUAAGGACCAACAUACCGGGGACUAAGCUUUCCUUUUUUACCAAAUCGCAUCACUACC